This is a non-coding RNA of Caenorhabditis elegans, 21 nucleotides long. Lineage: Eukaryota; Metazoa; Nematoda; Chromadorea; Rhabditida; Rhabditidae. The record is from Ensembl.
UCCGUGAAGAGUUUCGGCGUA